Long non-coding RNA from Heterocephalus glaber (naked mole-rat), 701 nucleotides. RefSeq lists it as uncharacterized. The record is from RefSeq and is a predicted model, not a curated record. Lineage: Eukaryota; Metazoa; Chordata; Mammalia; Rodentia; Bathyergidae.
AGAUUCCCUGGCAGGAGACUAUGACCUUGAAAGAAAGGAUUAUUUAUCAAUUCUGAAGGUCCAAGAUUCUGAAUGUCUACCAACUUCUGAGAUAAUGGCAAAGCUGCUGAUCCAUGGACCACAUUUGGAAAACCAAAAAGGCCACAAGAUGGUUGUAGAAGCUUCAAAAUGUCCUCACAUUCCAAAACCUACAGCAAGAAGGCAGGAACAUACAAUCAAUGAAGGAAGGCAAGAACAACAACAAAAAAACAACAUAUAAAAUAGAACUCAAUGUGUAAGUGAAAUUGUACUGGAAAAUGAACUACAGAAGCUUAAAGAAACAAUUUUGACUUCCAAAUGCUAGUAUUUGGCAUUUAAGAACUAGAACGAAUGCAUCGCCAGUUUAGUAUUCUGCUGGGAUGUCUGAGUGCAAUGUGUUCUUGGUAAUGAAGCAUAUCUCCUGCAGUGUACAGAUAGCUAGAAUCUUUAUUUCUGGUACAAAGUAAAAGACAAUGAAUUAAAUAUGUGGCAGCUGAAUUUGUGUGCACAGCCAUACUAAGCAAAGACAGAGAGGUACGUUAUACUAUUUGGACAGCAAACCAUCCUCAGAAACUUUAAGUCCUCUUUCAUCUGGGGACACUGGCCAAAUUUGGAUCACUGUAUUGGGCUUGCUGGUUAAUAUAUGAUCAGAACUAGUUUUCAUUCCUUUUCUUUAAUAUACA